Molecule: ribosomal RNA, 253 nt
Filed under: uncultured bacterium
Lineage: Bacteria
Description: partial 16S ribosomal RNA
Rfam family: Bacterial small subunit ribosomal RNA
Source: RNAcentral
UACGUAGGGGGCUAGCGUUGUCCGGAUUUACUGGGCGUAAAGAGCGCGCAGGCGGUCGUUCAAGUCGAGUGUGAAAGCCCCCGGCUCAACUGGGGAGGGUCACUCGAUACUGAUCGACUUGAAGGCGGGAGAGGGAAGCGGAAUUCCCGGUGUAGUGGUGAAAUGCGUAGAUAUCUGGAGGAACACCGGUGGCGAAGGCGGCAUCCUGGACCGGCAUUGACGCUGAGGCGCGAAAGCCAGGGGAGCAAACGGG